Molecule: ribosomal RNA, 496 nt
Filed under: uncultured bacterium
Lineage: Bacteria
Description: partial 16S ribosomal RNA
Rfam family: Bacterial small subunit ribosomal RNA
Source: RNAcentral
AUGAACGCUGGCGGCGUGCCUAAUACCUGCCAGUCGAGCGAACAGACGAGGAGCUUGCUCCUCUGACGUUAGCGGCGGACGGGUGAGUAACACGUGGAUAACCUACCUAUAAGACUGGGAUAACUUCGGGAAACCGGAGCUAAUACCGGAUAAUAUAUUGAACCGCAUGGUUCAAUAGUGAAAGACGGUUUUGCUGUCACUUAUAGAUGGAUCCGCGCCGCAUUAGCUAGUUGGUAAGGUAACGGCUUACCAAGGCGACGAUGCGUAGCCGACCUGAGAGGGUGAUCGGCCACACUGGAACUGAGACACGGUCCAGACUCCUACGGGAGGCAGCAGUAGGGAAUCCUCCGCAAUGGGCGAAAGCCUGACGGAGCAACGCCGCGUGAGUGAUGAAGGUCUUCGGAUCGUAAAACUCUGUUAUUAGGGAAGAACAAAUGUGUAAGUAACUAUGCACGUCUUGACGGUACCUAAUCAGAAAGCCACGGCUAACUACGUG